Molecule: long non-coding RNA, 3842 nt
Filed under: Sus scrofa (pig)
Lineage: Eukaryota; Metazoa; Chordata; Mammalia; Artiodactyla; Suidae
Description: lncRNA (ENSSSCG00030042524.1)
Source: RNAcentral
CCAUCACUGACCCGUCUCUCAGCAUUUAUGCUCUUGUAUAGGCUCCUCCCUUGAGUGUAGACGGGAUCUAGGACUUGUUUCCAGCCAACAGACUAUAGCAAAGGUGAAGGAAUUCUGCACAUGGAAUCCAGGCUCCAAAUCAGUUGGGUUAUAAAGUUCAUUGAAAGAGUCUCCUAAGUGGACCUCACUUCAUCAGGCAGAAGCUCAGGAAAGAGACACUCCUGCUGGCCUUGAAGAAGCAGGCUGCUGUAAUGUGAACAGCUUAUGCAGGGGCCAUGUGGCAGGGGACCAAGAGGGAUUUCAAAGGGCUGGGGGCCACCGUCCUACUUCUGCCCCCACCCUGAGGGCUUGAAGGACUCCGAGCUCCAGGUGAGAAGCUGAGAGGGGACCCAGCUAUGCAGACAGACUCCCGACCCAUAGAAACUCUGAGAUAACAAAUGUUUUGAUUUAAACCACUAUGUUUGUGGAGUUCCCAUUGUGGUGCAGCAGAAACGAACCUCAGGAGAAUCCAUGAGGAUGCGGGGAUCAAACCCUCGUCCGCAUGGAUCCUAGUCAGGUUCAUUAACCACUGAGCUACAACAGGAACUCCAAGUCCAUGUGAUUUAUGUGUCAGUGUAUCUGCUCUCUAUCAGCUGUUUCUCAGCUUUUUUUUUUUUUCAUUAUCACUCCUCCUAAGGAGACUUUAUAGGUAUUUUUUCCCUCCACUAACCCCCCACAAAAAUUUAAUAUCACAGAUAUACUACCUGUGUAUGUAGCUGUGUGUAUUUGUGCUUUAUAUAUAGGAAGAGUAAGAUCUUUCGCCCCACAAGAACCAAUUUUAUCCCCUUUAGGGCAAUAUCGCCCCCACUGAGAAUCCAUGUAUCUACACACACACACACACACACACACACACACACCCCAUGCAAGAGGGGGGCCUCCCCACCAAUCACAGCCAAACCAGAGAGCAGCCCUGGUCCAAUGGCUCUUGUAGGAAAGAGACACCAGCAAUUAGAAAACCCGGGAGCUGCAGACAGUUCUGAGUUCACUGAGCAUGACCUGGCUGCCAAAUCCUCAGAGGUGGGAUUUCGAUAGGCCACACAAUCAUCUAAUUGUUUCUAAAAAGAAAAUAUCUGAAAUUCUAACUUUUGCAUUGCCAUUGCCAGUUAUGAUGCUCGCAACCUUAUUUUAAAGCAAGUGAACAAGACACACUUUGGACAAAAAAGAACCAUCAGCAUAUGUAUCAUCUUAUAGAUCUCGUCACCAGCGGAGGCAAGAUUUUAUUGAACAACCAUCAAUCAAUCGGUCUCUGAAAAACUCAUUAAGUAUCUAUCCAAUGUUUAGCUCAGGACAAAGACUUGCAGAGUGUGUGUAAGCUAAGGUCCAUGUCUCCGCCUUCAAGUGUCUUAGAGCCCAGUUUUGCUGUAACUUAAACCAGAUAUAAUAUCUGAGGAGUGAGGAGGCUCUCGGGAAUUGUAAUCUAUUGCCACUCAGUGAAAAGGCUUUAUUUUGGCGGUAUUUACAGGGGUGAGGAGGGAGGAGGAAAAACUCACAGUGUGGGAGUUCCUGCGGUAGCACAGCGGAAACAAAUCCAACUAGUAUCCAUGAGGAUGCGGGUUCCAUCCCUGGCCUCAUUCAGUGGGUCAGGGAUCCAGUCAUGAGCUGCGGUGUAGGUCACAGACAAGCCUCGGAUCCUGUGAUGCUGUGGCUGUGGUGGAGGCUGGCAGCUGCAGCUCCAAUUUGACCCCAGCCUGGGAGCUUCCAUAUGCCAUGGGUGUGGCCCCCCCCAAAAGCAAAAAAACCCAAAAAACCAAAAACCUCACAGUGUGAUCUGCUUGGCUCUCCCCCAGUGAGUCGGAUGUCUCUGUGUUCAUGACAAGAACUACAGAGGAUCCUGGAUCUAUACUUUUGUUGGUCUCCAUUAAAAUCACCCCAGAGAAUUUAUUGAAGUUAUCAAAUGCAUCUUUAGUGUUAAAUAUCCUAAUAGGACAGUCUAAGCACUCAAACGCGGUGUUAUAAUUAAAGCCACAGGAUGAAUAAAACGUAAAAGAAGAUUCUGGUGCACAACGUUUUUUUUCUAAGGGAAUACUGAGAAGGGCUCUUGGUAGGAAACCACAGGGCUCACUCUAGCUAAUUAAGGAAAUGGGUUAGAAAGUCCAUUCCCCACCUCGGCCUUGAAGAAGCAGGGCCCCUAAGAAGCAAGUUCCAGGGGUGCAGGGUAGAACAAAGAAGGACAAAUGUCCCCUAUGUGUGUCAAUAUUGAAAUCAGUUGAAAAUACUCUCCAAAAUAUAAAUAUAUGAAGAGCGAGCAAAAGUACUCUUUAUUAUUAAUUUGUUGACAUUCGAAAGAACCGUUUCUGCCAGAUCAUGAUAUCUGAGACUGCUGAAAAAGAAGGCCUUGAAUUUGAGGAAAUAAGACAUACACACGCACGUGCACACGCACACACACGCACAGAUAGACAGACACACACAUAAACACAUAUAAAUAAAAACUGGCCAAUGUGAAAGUUAAUCAAAACAAGUCAACAGUAGCCAGAGACCAUAAGUGGAUUCCAUGAAUUUAUAUAGUUUGAAUUGAGGCCAGGAUCCAGCGGCCCCAGGAAUGUGGUUCCAUCUAUUUCAUAGUUGAAAAAUUCCCCAGCGAGGCCAAGUGUCUUGGUCAAGGGCCCGGAGGAGUCAAGGGUAUAAACCACUCCAAGUGUUUACUGAUAGGAAUGUGGGCUUAUAAGACAACAUUCUCCUUUCUUGGGAAAUCUACCUCGUGGAGCCCUUGUACAAGGCCUCACAGAGUGGCUUGCCUGUUUGAAACAUUUCCCAGUCUCGCCUGGUGUGCAAAAUUGCUUAGGAACUGCAGUCUUUGUCGUAUUUUGACGCGGCGACGUUCCUGGGCAGAUCCCAUAGCACCUCCUCAUUGCCAGGUGGCCAUGUCCCAGCACACAGAUGUCAGGGCACCGCCCCGAGAGGCAGCACGCGGCUUGGCGGAAGGCAGGCCAGGUGGUCAAUGUCAAGGGGACCAUUUAACAGAACAACCUCCCAAGUUGCCCCAAGCGCUGAGCGAGAGAGAAAAAGCACCCUGGUAGGAGAGGGAUGCGUUCUGUUCACCCACAUGAGGACUCGAGUCCAUAACCGCAGAAACCAUUUCCUGGGUCUGGUCAUACAGCCAAGAGCCUCAGCUUCUGUGACUAUUUCAUCACAUGCAGAAUAGGAAUACGACUGAUUUGGAUUCACAUAGGAAUAUUCUACAAGAAGUUCAGAAUGCUUCCUCUUGCCACUCCACCCUGGUGGCCAGAACACAGGGCCUCGUGGAAAGGACGGUGACAGGUGAGUAUGACCACCUCCACCGAAGGCAGCCCCUCCAACCUUGGCACCGCCCCAGAGUCAGUUCAUUUCCUUGUCAGGUGGACACCUAGGUUAGGGCUCCGCCCGCCACCUGUUUUGUAAAUAAAGCUUCCUUAGAGCCCAUCCUGUAGGGACUGUCCUUGGCUGCUCUCUUGCUGCAGCAGCAGAGCCGGGCAGCUAUGCUGGAAACUGCAUAGACUUCAAGACCAAAAGCAUUUACCAUGUGACCCUUUACAGCAAAAGCUUGCUGACCUCAAUCUAGGUUACGGGAGCUCCAAGACCCCUCACCAAGUAGAUUUAGUGAACUGCUUAAGAACCUCCCACCAGGCUUCCCAAAGUCAGCACACAGUCGAAUCCAUCCAAGAACCAACUCUGGGGCUAAAACGGACUUCAAACCCCAUUUCAUCCAAUCUUCUUAUUUCAGAAAUGAAGAAGCCCAAAUGGCCAGUCCAAAAUCACAGAGUGGCAGGAAGCAGAAGCAAACAUCAAAUUUCCUCAACUCUGGAGUUCCCUCUGUGGCACAGCGG